Molecule: ribosomal RNA, 253 nt
Filed under: uncultured bacterium
Lineage: Bacteria
Description: partial 16S ribosomal RNA
Rfam family: Bacterial small subunit ribosomal RNA
Source: RNAcentral
UACGUAGGGUCCGAGCGUUGUCCGGAUUUAUUGGGCGUAAAGAGCUCGUAGGCGGUCUGUUGCGUCCGCUGUGAAAACUCGGGGCUUAACCCCGAGCCUGCAGUGGAUACGGGCAGACUAGAGGUAGGUAGGGGAGAAUGGAAUUCCCGGUGUAGCGGUGAAAUGCGCAGAUAUCGGGAGGAACACCGGUGGCGAAGGCGGUUCUCUGGGACGGUACUGACGCUGAGACGCGAAAGCGUGGGGAGCGAACAGG